Molecule: ribosomal RNA, 468 nt
Filed under: uncultured bacterium
Lineage: Bacteria
Description: partial 16S ribosomal RNA
Rfam family: Bacterial small subunit ribosomal RNA
Source: RNAcentral
GACGAACGCUGGCGGCGUGCUUAACACAUGCAAGUCGAACGGAAAGGCGCGGCGUUUGUGGGGUGCACGAUUGGCGAACGGGGGAGUAACGCGUGAGUAACCUGCCCUUGACUUUGGGAUAACUUCAGGAAACAGGGGCUAAUACCGGAUAUGAGCUCCUGCUGCACGGGGGGGGUUGGAAAGAUUCGGCGGUUGGGGCUGGACUCGCGGCUUAUCAGCUUGUUGGUGGGGUAGGUGCUUCCCAGGGCUUUGACGGGUAGCCGGCAUUGGAGGGUGAACGGGCACCUUGGUCCUGCGAUACGCCGCAGUCUCCUACCGUCCGCAGUGGUGGGGAGCCUGGCGGAAUGGCCGGACGCCUGUUAUGGAGAUCCUGCGUGCGUGAUGCCGUGUUUCGAGUUGUAAACCGAUUUGGACGUUGCUGUGGCGUGAUUGACGGUACUUGGUCAGAAAGCCCCGGCUAACUACGUG